RNAcentral lists this ribosomal RNA (274 nucleotides) under uncultured bacterium. Its description in RNAcentral is "partial 16S ribosomal RNA". It matches the Rfam family "Bacterial small subunit ribosomal RNA", at positions 523 to 796 of the family's 1533-position model. The record is from RNAcentral.
AUACGGAGGGUGCGAGCGUUAAUCGGAAUUACUGGGCGUAAAGCGUACGUAGGCGGUUGGUUAAGUUAGAUGUGAAAGCCCCGGGCUUAACCUGGGAACUGCAUUUAAAACUGGCGAACUAGAGUUGAGUAGAGGGGAGUGGAAUUUCAGGUGUAGCGGUGAAAUGCGUAGAGAUCAGAAGGAACACCAGUGGCGAAGGCGACUCCCUGGACUCGAACUGACGCUGAGGUACGAAAGCGUGGGUAGCAAACGGGACUAGAUACCCUAGUAGUCC